RNAcentral lists this ribosomal RNA (501 nucleotides) under uncultured bacterium. RNAcentral's name for it is "bacterial SSU rRNA". It matches the Rfam family "Bacterial small subunit ribosomal RNA", at positions 16 to 507 of the family's 1533-position model. The record is from RNAcentral.
AUCCUGGCUCAGGAUGAACGCUAGCUACAGGCUUAACACAUGCAAGUCGAGGGGCAGCAUUACGGUAGCUUGCUACUGUAGAUGGCGACCGGCGCACGGGUGAGUAACGCGUAUCCAACCUGCCCAUGACUUGGGGAUAACCUUGCGAAAGCAAGCCUAAUACCCGAUACGCUUCAUAGACGGCAUCUGAAAUGAAGUAAAGGUUUACGGUUAUGGAUGGGGAUGCGUCCGAUUAGCUUGUUGGCGGGGUAACGGCCCACCAAGGCAUCGAUCGGUAGGGGUUCUGAGAGGAAGGUCCCCCACAUUGGAACUGAGACACGGUCCAAACUCCUACGGGAGGCAGCAGUGAGGAAUAUUGGUCAAUGGAGGCAACUCUGAACCAGCCAAGUAGCGUGCAGGAUGACGGCCCUAUGGGUUGUAAACUGCUUUUAUGCGGGGAUAAAUUGACUCACGUGUGGGUCAUUGCAGGUACCGCAUGAAUAAGGACCGGCUAAUUCCGUG